UUAGAUACCCUAUUAUUUUGAACGAAAAAUUUAAUACCAGGCUAGUAUUAGUUAUGUUCUUGAAAAUUAAAGAAGAUGGCGGUAUUUUAGUCUAUUCAGAGGAACCUGUCCUAUAAUUGAUGGUCCACGAUUUAUUAUACUUAUUUUUUUAGUUUGCAUAUCGCCGUAGGUUGAAUAUUCUUUAAGGAAAGGAACGUUCAAGAGGUUUUUAAUGUGAAAAUAAAUCAGGUCAAGAUGUAGCUUAUAAAUAAGAAGAGAUGGGUUACAAUAAAUAAAUUUAUUAUGGAUUAGUAGAUGAAAGUUUAUUAUGAAGGUGGAUUUGAAGGUAAUUUUAUAAAAAUUUAUAAGAUGAUUCUAGCUCUAAAAUAUGUACACAUCGCCCGUCG
This 386-nucleotide ribosomal RNA is filed under the name Naupactus sulfuratus. RNAcentral describes it as "partial 12S ribosomal RNA". Lineage: Eukaryota; Metazoa; Arthropoda; Insecta; Coleoptera; Curculionidae. The record is from RNAcentral.